Transfer RNA from Alloiococcus otitis ATCC 51267, 73 nucleotides. It matches the Rfam family "tRNA". From Rfam's summary of the family: Transfer RNA (tRNA) molecules are approximately 80 nucleotides in length. Their secondary structure includes four short double-helical elements and three loops (D, anti-codon, and T loops). NCBI's taxonomy places the organism in Bacteria, Bacillati, Bacillota, Bacilli, Lactobacillales, Carnobacteriaceae. The record is from Rfam.
CGCGGGGUAGAGCAGUUGGUAGCUCGUCGGGCUCAUAACCCGGAGGUCGUAGGUUCGAAUCCUUCCCCCGCAA